AUUGAACGCUGGCGGCAUGCCUAACACAUGCAAGUCGAACGGAGCGGCGGACGGGAGCGUAAUGCCUAGGAAUCUGCCUGGUAGCGGUGGAUAACGUCCGGAAACGGGCGCUAAUACCGCAUACUAUCAGAUGAGCCUUGGGCGGAUUAGCUAGUAGGUGGGGUAAAGGCCUACAAAGGCGACGGUCCGUAACGGGUUUGAGAGGAUGAUCAGUCAAAUUGGACGGGGGACACGGUCCAGACUCGUACGGAGGGCAGCAGUGGGGAAUAUUGGAAAAUGGGCGAAAGCCUGAUCCACACAUGCCGCGUGUGUGAAGAAGGUUUUGGGAUUGUAAAGCACUUUAAUUUGGGAGGCGUUACCAACAGAAUAAGCACCGGCUAACUUCGUGCCAGCAGCCGCGGUAAUUC
Molecule: ribosomal RNA, 407 nt
Filed under: uncultured bacterium
Lineage: Bacteria
Description: partial 16S ribosomal RNA
Rfam family: Bacterial small subunit ribosomal RNA
Source: RNAcentral